CUACUCUGUGCGGUGGAUCACUCGGCUCGUGUGUCGAUGAAGAGCGCAGCUAGCUGCGAGAAGUUAAUGUGAAUUGCAGGACCACAUUGAAACAUCGACCUCUUGAACGCACAUGGCGGCCUCUGGGUCACUCCAGAGGCCACGUCUGUCUGAGGGUCGGC
This 161-nucleotide ribosomal RNA is filed under the name Cerastoderma glaucum. Its description in RNAcentral is "5.8S ribosomal RNA". It matches the Rfam family "5.8S ribosomal RNA". From Rfam's summary of the family: 5.8S ribosomal RNA (5.8S rRNA) is a component of the large subunit of the eukaryotic ribosome. The record is from RNAcentral. Lineage: Eukaryota; Metazoa; Mollusca; Bivalvia; Cardiida; Cardiidae.